Molecule: ribosomal RNA, 465 nt
Filed under: uncultured bacterium
Lineage: Bacteria
Description: partial 16S ribosomal RNA
Rfam family: Bacterial small subunit ribosomal RNA
Source: RNAcentral
CUACGGGAGGCUCCAGUGGGGAAUAUUGCACAAUGGGCGCAAGCCUGAUGCAGCCAUGCCGCGUGUAUGAAGAAGGCCUUCGGGUUGUAAAGUACUUUCAGCGGGGAGGAAGGGAGUAAAGUUAAUACCUUUGCUCAUUGACGUUACCCGCAGAAGAAGCACCGGCUAACUCCGUGCCAGCAGCCGCGGUAAUAGCGGAGGGUACAAGCGUUAAUCGGAAUUACUGGGCGUAAAGCGCACGCAGGCGGUUUGUUAAGUCAGAUGUGAAAUCCCCGGGCUCAACCUGGGAACUGCAUCUGAUACUGGCAAGCUUGAGUCUGGUAGAGGGGGGUAGAAUUCCAGGUGUAGCGGUGAAAUGCGUAGAGAUCUGGAGGAAUACCGGUGGCGAAGGCGGCCCCCUGGACGAAGACUGACGCUCAGGUGCGAAAGCGUGGGGAGCAAACAGGAUUAGAUACCCUAGUAGUC